AUUGAACGCUGGCGGCAUGCCUUACACAUGCAAGUCGAACGGCAGCACGGGAGCAAUCCUGGUGGCGAGUGGCGAACGGGUGAGUAAAGUAUCGGAACGUGCCCAGUCGUGGGGGAUAACGUAGCGAAAGUUACGCUAAUACCGCAUACGAUCUAUGGAUGAAAGCGGGGGAUCGAAAGACCUCGCGCGAUUGGAGCGGCCGAUAUCAGAUUAGGUAGUUGGUGGGGUAAAGGCUCACCAAGCCGACGAUCUGUAGCUGGUCUGAGAGGACGACCAGCCACACUGGGACUGAGACACGGCCCAGACUCCUACGGGAGGCAGCAGUGGGGAAUUUUGGACAAUGGGCGAAAGCCUGAUCCAGCCAUGCCGCGUGCAGGAUGAAGGCCUUCGGGUUGUAAACUGCUUUUGUACGGAACGAAGAGGUUUGGCCUAAUAAGCUGAGCUCAUGACGGUACCGUAAGAAUAAGCACCGGCUAACUACGUGCCAGCCGCCGCAGUAA
This 500-nucleotide ribosomal RNA is filed under the name uncultured bacterium. RNAcentral's name for it is "partial 16S ribosomal RNA". It matches the Rfam family "Bacterial small subunit ribosomal RNA", at positions 30 to 523 of the family's 1533-position model. The record is from RNAcentral.